UCGAAAUACAAAACUGGUUCGAACCGGUUUCGUUCUUAUAUUUCACUGUAUAAACUACAAAAACAUUCGUUUGUAUUAUACAUUCGCCAUUUUACGCAGCGACUGCACGGUCGACGUGUGCAAUCUCUCCGGAAAAAGCUCGUUUUGAGGCUGUAUUUUUUUGAGCUUUUCAUUUUUUACUUCCACUUAAUAACAUGGGAAAAGCCAAGGCAACCGUCCCCCCUGAGCAAAGACGAACCUCCCCACGUCUGGCACUGAAACCUAAAGCAACUUCUGUGGAGACUAAGAAAAAAGCUGCUCCAAAGAAGGCACCCAAAGCGAAGAAGGCCAAGCCAGCUGAGAAUGGCAACACCAAGGCUGAGGAGCCAAAGGCUGAAGCCACCGAAGCCAAGUAAAUAAUGGUUGAUGUGCUCACUCAGUGUACUUGGUGAUUGUACAGUUUUAAAUAAGUAUUUUUUACCAAGUUUUAUAUUACAAAUGUCAUUUAUAGGUUUGUUUUUGGGCUUGCACUUGAUGUAACAAGACUUUGUUUUCACAUUCAUAUCCAUUUUUCGUUCCUCGUCAGUUUUAAAGCUUUUACCGUCCAUAUCUUGUAGACGUGGCAUUUUUAGUUUGUCUAAUCUGUGUUAUUUUAUUUUUACUGCUGAGGAAUAGACAUCUUCAUGUUGGAUUUUGAAUAAUUUUAAACAGAAGGCAGCUAAAGUAUAGUAAAAAUAAAGAAAUAAACUUACAGGAGAAUAGGAAAUUUGCCUUUUCUCUCCCUGUAUUUUAAUGUUCAACUAAUAAACCAAAUGCUUUAAAAUCGGCAUAUUUCAGUGUAGGAUCUAGUCAGUUAAAAUGCCACAGAAAUUUAGUCUUCAUUAGAUCAAAAUUUGGUAGAUCCUGGCUGUAACUGGUCAUCGGUUAAAGAAAUCUGUUAACUUGUUUCUGUAUGGGAGGUAGGGUGGGUUGUUUUUUGUUUUCUGACAUCAUUGGUUAUCCUAAAUGUUCUUGAAUAAAAAUCUUCAAAAAUG
Molecule: long non-coding RNA, 1013 nt
Organism: Nematolebias whitei (Rio pearlfish)
Lineage: Eukaryota; Metazoa; Chordata; Actinopteri; Cyprinodontiformes; Rivulidae
Exons: 6
Source: RefSeq, a predicted model, not a curated record